GAGCAUUUUUUGCAGUUGAAGCAAUCAUUAUGCCAUUGGCGCUCCUCAAAUGAGAUGUACUUGGUUCCUCCAAGACCUGGAAAUAAGUUAAUUCCAAAAGAAGGGUGCAGGAGUAUAUCCCACUGGGUUCAACAGAAAAUCCCAUUGUCUAAUCCUUCGUGCUCCAGCACAUAAAGGGAAUGGAGACCUUGUAAAAGCCCAGAGAUCAUUUGACAUGAAGUGGAAAUUUGUGCUAUAAGUAUAACCUAUAAUGGUAUUUGAUGAGGACAUCCCUUCCCCCAGUGUGGGAGGCCAAGAAUUAUGAGAGGCUUAGUAACAAGAAAGUUUUCCCUAUGGAUACCGGAGACCUUGAAAACAAUCAAACACAGGAGCAACUUAACUUUAAAGGAGAAAUCUCUUCGUCUAAAUAUGAUUUGAUAAAGCUCUUAGCUUAACUUGGCAGCUUACAAAACUGUGCAGUUUAUAUGUUCAUUGGGUUGUUGCUAGCAUUUAAUUUAGAAAUAAACUUGUGUUUUCCAAAGACCAAAAACUAAAGACCCAGUAGCAAUGAAAAACAAACAGCAUUGCAAAUCACUGAUUGUUCUUUUAUUGUCAAUCAAUCACAAUUUCAUUGCUUAGUUUCAUUAAAAUUAAACAUUUGGUUUCUACUGAAUUUUUUAAUGUUUCUUCAUUUGUUACCCUUUAUUAAAUAUUCACAGUAUCAUUACAUAAAUGACCUAAGCAUUUAACAUUCAAUAUAAAUUGGUAUAAAUAUAACCUUAUUUACUAACUAUGUUGAAGGUUACAUUACAGAUAUUAUUAUCCUA
This is a long non-coding RNA of Rhincodon typus (whale shark), 806 nucleotides long. RefSeq lists it as uncharacterized. Lineage: Eukaryota; Metazoa; Chordata; Chondrichthyes; Orectolobiformes; Rhincodontidae. The record is from RefSeq and is a predicted model, not a curated record. The transcript has 3 exons.